CCCUGCCAUUUGUACACACCGCCCGUCGCUCCUACCGGUUGAAUGGCCAGGUGAACUUAUUCGGAUGUAACUUUUCAAGUUACAGAAGGUAAGUAAAUCUUGCCAUUCGCAGGAAGGAGAAGUCGUAACAAGGU
This 134-nucleotide ribosomal RNA is filed under the name uncultured eukaryote. RNAcentral's name for it is "partial small subunit ribosomal RNA". It matches the Rfam family "Eukaryotic small subunit ribosomal RNA", at positions 1651 to 1800 of the family's 1831-position model. The record is from RNAcentral.